Molecule: long non-coding RNA, 1402 nt
Filed under: Sus scrofa (pig)
Lineage: Eukaryota; Metazoa; Chordata; Mammalia; Artiodactyla; Suidae
Description: lncRNA (ENSSSCG00035032889.1)
Source: RNAcentral
UUUGCUCUUCAUUUCAACAUGUCUUUUCCUCUUACUCUUUGUGAUUUUCACUUGAUCCUUUUGAGUUUUGAUUCCAAAGUUCUUAAGAGACAGAGAUCCUAUUGGCUGGUGCAAGACCAUAGCAGUUGUGUGUGUGUGUGUGUGUGUGUGAGAGAGAGAGAGAGAGGGAGAGGGAGAGGGAGAGGGAGAGGGAGAGGGAGAGGGAGAGCGCUGAGUCACUGUCUCCCAUUUCUGGCUUUGCUUCUCACAUCCACAACCCAUGUGCUCUACUUCCAUUUUUUCCUCUCAUUCCUGUUCCAAGCACAUCUGAAGGUCAAAAGGAGCAUCUCGGAAUCCUCAAGAAACAAGAAGAAAACACACUUGGAUUUUCAAAUAUCUCGAUAUUUUAACUGUGUUUUUUAAAAAAGGAUAAACAGCUCUUUUAAUCAGAAAAAGUUCAGGCAUUAUAGUAUAAAUGAAAGAAUCUCAGUCAAAAAAGCUCAACAUUUGACUAUCUGGACAGCAAUAGAGCAUGCACUCAAAGUGAAAAGAAAAUGACAUGAUGCUUAAACAAUGUUUUAAAGUCCCCCCUGCCACCCAUUUUAGGGGGAGGGGGCAUGGGGAGGAGCUUGGAUGAUGAAAGUAAGAGCAUCCCAAGGGUGGAUGAAGACAUUAAAAGUGAGCAAUAUCCAGUUGCUUCCAGCUGGCUGGCCUGUUUUAACCCAGGGGAAAAAAAAUGGCAUUGGUAACUAGUUUUGUUUCUCUUUACCAUCGGAAAAAUAUUCAGAGAAAAACACUUCUUAUUCAUUUGGCAAAUAUUUACUGAGCUCCAAUCAUGUGCUAGGUACUAUUCUAAAUGAUAAUUAAACAGCUGUGAACCUGCCUGGCCCCUAUAGUUUUGAGGAUACUAAGUACAGGUCACUUUGGCCAUCAAAUUCAAUGUCAUUUUCAGUUCCACAGAAGUCCCUUAAAUGCUGAGCUACAGAGGUGGAUUCUUAGUAAAACCAAAGAAUUUUAAGCUUCAUAGUUGCUUACUUUUAUGGGCCUUUCCUGUGCAUCCUCCUCAAGAAUUUAGUACUCAUUUCAAUACAUGGGCCAUGGCUCAUGAAUUAUGAAUUAUAGGUGAGCUCAAUGGGUUGCCAGUAACCCUUUCAUUUUGGCUGGCCCCCAGUGACAUUCUACAUUGUGUGGGGGCUUCCCCAGGUAUCCCAAACCCAACUCUGGCAUCAAGAAGAUUCUUUUUUUUUCCUUUUAACGAUUUUUAUUUUUCUAUUAUAGUUGGUUUAGAGUGUUCUGUCAAUUUUCUGCUGAACAGCAAAGUGACCCAGUCACACAUGCAUAUAUAUACAUUCUUUUUUUCUCACAUUAUCCUCCACAGUGCUCCAGCAUAAGUGACUAGAUAUACUUCCCAAUGCUAUACAGC